GACGAACGCUGGCGGCGUGCUUAACACAUGCAAGUCGAACGAGGGAAUUGAAAGCUUGCUUUUGAAACCCGAGUGGCAAACGGGUGAGUAACGCGUAGGCAACCUGCCGUUGAGAUGGGGACAACAUCCCGAAAGGGGUGCUAAUACCGAAUGUUGUGGGAGCUCCGCAUGGAGCACCCACUAAAGAUGACCUCUCCUUGGAAGUUAUCGCUCAACGAUGGGCCUGCGUCUGAUUAGCUAGUUGGUGGGGCAACGGGCCUACCAAGGCGACGAUCAGUAGCCGGUCUGAGAGGAUGAACGGCCACAUUGGAACUGAGACACGGUCCAGACUCCUACGGAGGCAGCAGUGGGAAUCUUCCGCAAUGGGCGAAAGCCUGACGGAGCAACGCCGCGUGAGUGAAG
This 402-nucleotide ribosomal RNA is filed under the name uncultured bacterium. RNAcentral describes it as "bacterial SSU rRNA". It matches the Rfam family "Bacterial small subunit ribosomal RNA", at positions 28 to 410 of the family's 1533-position model. The record is from RNAcentral.